RNAcentral lists this long non-coding RNA (997 nucleotides) under Daucus carota (carrot). RNAcentral describes it as "long non-coding RNA (DCAR_LNC002765)". The record is from RNAcentral. Lineage: Eukaryota; Viridiplantae; Streptophyta; Magnoliopsida; Apiales; Apiaceae.
GGACUUGGCAAUAAUUUGAAAGUUUUACAUGUUUUUGGCUUAUAAUAAGUAUCAGAGUGUCCAUACCCAUGUCCAAGUGUCAAGUGUCCGACACGGGUACUCGAGACAAAAUAAAGAGUCAGGGUAACAUGGGUUAAUAACAUUGGUAUAAAUUUAAACUCGAAAUGCCCGUCAAUAUCUUUUUAAGUAUUAUUUCUCAUAUUGGAUUCAAGUUUCCUAAUUUAAUUACACAAAUAGUACUCAUGUUGCCUUCUGAAAAAGGUCAUGUGAUAAAAUUUUAUGUUUAAACUUUAAACCAUAUUUCUUUUGUACUCUUGUUUAUGUUUGGAGCUCCUGAACUACACUGUUUUCUCCCAACCUAAAAGCUUUUGGGUUUUGAAUGUGGAACUGGCAUCACUUUAAGGAUUCAGCUUUCUAUACUGUUGUAGUUUGAUGCAUUUGGUAUCUGCAGAUGUUGACAGAGAAGGCAACAAAAGUUACAGCAAUGGCACUACAUAUGUAAAGGAAACAAAUGGUUAGACUAUCUCUUACCUUUUUUUAGUAAUUCAAUCUGAUAUACUGUUGUACCAUAGAAGUAAUUUAAUAUCAUUGGUAUUGAUUUAAACUAAACGUUCUGUCCAUCUCUUUCCAAAUAUAAACCGUGUCAUAUUGGAUUCAAAUAUCCAAAUUUAUGAACAGAUAGUGCUCUUUUUCCCCUUCUGCUGAAAAAGGUCAUGUGAAUGACAUGUUUAGUUAUUUUAUGGUAUAAACUGUGUCAUAUUGGAUUCAAAUAUCCAAAUUUAUGAACAAAUAGUGCUCUCUUUUACCUUCUGCUGAAAAAGGUCAUGUGCAUGACAUGUUUAGUUGUUUUAUGGUUUGUUCAGCAAUACUUAAAGAACAUAUCUAUAUCUAUAUCAUGUUAAUACUUAAUAGUAUAUAGUUUCAGUGGGGUGGUUUGGUUCGCGGAGUAGUAUGUGGUUGGAAUCAAGAAUUGGGUUAAGGUGGUAUAGGUUUGAGG